Molecule: long non-coding RNA, 1548 nt
Filed under: Rosa chinensis
Lineage: Eukaryota; Viridiplantae; Streptophyta; Magnoliopsida; Rosales; Rosaceae
Description: sRNA RchiOBHm_Chr6g0296491
Source: RNAcentral
UUGGGUACAAAGGAAGCCUAAGGCCUGGGAAGGGGAGGGGAGGGGCUAAGCUAGCCUGAGGUUUUGAAUAAAUGUUCUAAAUGGGGUGCUUUAGUCCCAAAGUGAGUCGGCAAUUUCCAGGACACUAGGAUCAGUAAUAAAGCAGUGAGAUAGCAAUAAUGUUCUUUUUAGGACACCAUGACAUUAUGAUCUAACAGUCUUUACUUGUAUGUACUUUUCAGCAAUCAAAUGAAGCACUAUGUCAUGCUAAAUAAAGUUUAGGGUGAACCAUUGAUUUAAUCAUAUGGUAUAUCACUCCCAGAGGUAACUAAAACGUAAGGAAUAAUUGAGCUUAUUUCUUACAUCUUAAACAUUGCUUGCAGUACCAUGGAGGAGAACUAAUUUCGGAAGAACUGCUGGAGUCCCUUUUUAACAGAGGCGGCCCUGGACAUAGGCUCAAUAGGCCCCAGGCCUAGGCCCCCCACCCCCCCCCCCCCCCCCCCCCCAAAAAAAAGAUAACCCCUUAUAUAUAUGUUAUAAAAAAGAUUCUGGACAUUUUGUUUUGAAAAAAAAAAAAAAAAUUGGUUGUUCCUGACUUUUGUUCUUCUGCCGACUGCUACUCUGAGUGCUCUCCCAAAUCUCUCUCCUCACUUUUCAGACGAAAGUCACGAAAUUCUUCCAGAAAUUUGUCCAGGUUAUGAUGGCUCCGAUUAGGAAGUAUCCUUCUGCGGUUAAAAAAAGAAAAGAGAAGCAAAAGAGAGAGGCAUUGGUUAAGCUUCAAGCCGGAUCCCUUCGUGUUGACGGAUGUACUUGAACUUUUGCUUUUUGUGGUUAGAGGACCUAUUUUGUACCAGAUUGCUACAGCUAUAUCUGCCACUGCAACCUGGGAAUUUACACAUAUCAAGUAUCGGUUGGGGCUUGAAGGGUGUGGUUUGGUUGUUUAACAUUGCUACUUAUAUGCUGCCCAUUAUGCACUGAGUAGACAUGCUUCAGCAACUGAACAGAAAAGGGAGGUUAUCUCCCUCGGAACAUAUAUUCCCUCAAUUCUAAAUAUGGAUCUGAGCACCAAUUAAAAGUUAUGCAGCUAAAUAUGUGAAAGAGUAUAUUGAAGGAGCAAAACCAAUUUUUUCUGUUGGGGAGUAUUGGGAUUCUUGCAACUACAAUGGUCAUGGUUUGGACUACAACCAAGAUAGCCACAGACAACAAAUAAUAAGUUGGAUUGAUGGCACGGGACAGCUGUCAACUGCAUUUGACUUCACAACCAAGGGAGUUCUUCAGCUGUCAAGGGACAAUUAUGGAGAUUACGUGAUCCCCAAGGGAAGCCAUCAGGUGUAAUACAGUAGUACAGCUAGCUAGUUCCUAUAUUUAACUUGUGUCUAGUAGAAAUUCUUUCUUCAUUAGCAUUUGGACUUGUCUGCAGAUUUAGAUUAGUAGAUAUGGGCCAUUUUGAAUUGAUGCUCAUGAUUAGGUUUGUGUACAUGAGACAAUGGUGGAUUAGUGGAAAUUGCAAUGAGUGAUUUUGGAUGUGGAUUUUGUGGUUUCAUGAAUAUGCAAUUUUAAUUUCCAGAU